This 253-nucleotide ribosomal RNA is filed under the name uncultured prokaryote. Its description in RNAcentral is "partial 16S ribosomal RNA". It matches the Rfam family "Bacterial small subunit ribosomal RNA", at positions 525 to 777 of the family's 1533-position model. The record is from RNAcentral.
ACGUAGGGUGCGAGCGUUGUCCGGAAUUAUUGGGCGUAAAGGGCUCGUAGGCGGUUUGUCGCGUCGGGAGUGAAAACGCCGGGCUUAACUCGGUGCUUGCUUUCGAUACGGGCAGACUAGAGGCAUGCAGGGGAGAACGGAAUUCCUGGUGUAGCGGUGAAAUGCGCAGAUAUCAGGAAGAACACCCGUGGCUAAGGCGGCUCUCUAGUACGGUACUGACGCUGAGACGCGAAAGCGUGGGGAGCGAACAGGA